GUUGUUUUAUUGAUUUAUUUGUUGUUUUCAUUGUAUCCAAAGUCAUGAGUUCCGGAUGAACUCUUUUUGGUGCCUUUUAUUGAAAAGGCUAUAGCUUUCUAUUCAUGCUUGGCUCUAGUCUAAUAGAGGAUUAGCAUGCAGCUUGGAUCAGUAAGAUGUGAAGUGUGAACUUGAUCUGUUUUAUUUUAGGGAUCUGAAUUUGUAAUUUUGCAUUUGCAGUCUUCAGGCAGGAUAUCUAUGG
RNAcentral lists this unclassified non-coding RNA (241 nucleotides) under Hevea brasiliensis (rubber tree). The record is from RNAcentral. Lineage: Eukaryota; Viridiplantae; Streptophyta; Magnoliopsida; Malpighiales; Euphorbiaceae.